This 253-nucleotide ribosomal RNA is filed under the name uncultured bacterium. Its description in RNAcentral is "partial 16S ribosomal RNA". It matches the Rfam family "Bacterial small subunit ribosomal RNA", at positions 524 to 776 of the family's 1533-position model. The record is from RNAcentral.
UACGGAGGAUUCAAGCGUUAUCCGGAUUUAUUGGGUUUAAAGGGUGCGUAGGCGGAUUGAUAAGUUAGAGGUGAAAUGUCCGAGCUCAACUCGGGAACUGCCUCUAAUACUGUUGAUCUAGAGAGUAGAUGCGGUAGGCGGAAUGCGCGGUGUAGCGGUGAAAUGCAUAGAUAUCGCGCAGAACUCCGAUUGCGAAGGCAGCAUGCCGGCCCCACACUGACGCUCAGGCACGAAAGCGUGGGUAUCGAACAGG